This is an RNA transcript of Strigops habroptila (Kakapo), 6014 nucleotides long. It is a transcript of the gene named protein inhibitor of activated STAT 2, with no coding region annotated. The transcript has 13 exons. Lineage: Eukaryota; Metazoa; Chordata; Aves; Psittaciformes; Psittacidae. The record is from RefSeq and is a predicted model, not a curated record.
GCCCCGCCACCUCCAGGGCCGCCCCGCCGGGCUGAUGCGCGGAGACCGGUCGUAUGCCCCCCCGCCCCUUCCCCGCUCCUCGCCGGAGCCGCCCUCCGCCGUCACGUGCCGGGGGCGCGCACGGGGUGCACGAUGGUGGCGGCGGGGCCCGGCGACGGCGGCGGUAGCAGCAGCAGCAGCGGGUAGAAAAUGGCGGAUUUCGAGGAGCUGCGGAAUAUGGUAUCAAGUUUUCGUGUUUCUGAACUACAAGUAUUGUUGGGGUUUGCUGGACGUAAUAAAAGUGGGCGGAAACAUGACCUCCUGAUGAGAGCACUGCACUUACUGAAGAGCGGCUGCAGCCCAGCAGUUCAGAUAAAAAUCAGAGAACUCUACAGACGUAGGUACCCAAGGACGAUUGAAGGUCUUUCGGAUUUAUCGGCUAUAAAACCCGCCGUUUUCAAUCUGGACAGCAGUUCCUCUCCUGUCGAGCCUGACCUAGCUGCUGCUGGCAUUCACCCGCUCCCUUCUACUUCAGUCACACCUCAGUCUCCUUCCUCGCCUGUCAGUUCCGUGCUCCUCCAAGACACUAAGCCCCACUUCGAGAUGCAGCAGCCAUCCCCUCCGAUUCCACCUGUUCAUCCUGAUGUCCAGCUGAAGAGCCUACCUUUUUAUGAUGUACUCGAUGUGCUCAUAAAACCUACAAGUCUAGUACAGAACAGUAUUCAGAGGUUCCAAGAGAAGUUUUUUAUCUUUGCUUUAACACCUCAGCAGGUCAGAGAGAUCUGUAUUUCCAGGGACUUCUUGCCAGGGGGCAGGAGAGAUUACACGGUCCAAGUUCAGCUAAGGUUGUGCCUAGCAGAGACAAGCUGCCCUCAAGAAGAUAACUAUCCUAAUAGUUUGUGUAUUAAAGUAAAUGGGAAGCUGUUUCCAUUGCCGGGAUAUGCUCCACCGCCAAAAAAUGGGAUUGAACAGAAGCGACCUGGGCGUCCCUUGAACAUAACAUCUCUAGUUAGGCUGUCGUCAGCCGUGCCAAACCAGAUUUCCAUUUCCUGGGCUUCUGAAAUUGGAAAGAAUUACUCCAUGUCCGUGUAUCUCGUCCGUCAGCUCACUUCAGCGAUGCUUUUGCAGAGAUUAAAAAUGAAAGGCAUCAGGAACCCUGAUCAUUCCAGAGCACUAAUUAAAGAAAAACUGACUGCGGAUCCUGAUAGUGAGAUUGCCACCACCAGUCUGCGUGUGUCUCUGAUGUGUCCUCUGGGAAAAAUGAGACUGACAAUCCCAUGCCGGGCUGUUACUUGCACUCACCUGCAAUGUUUUGAUGCUGCUCUUUAUCUUCAAAUGAAUGAGAAGAAGCCCACCUGGAUCUGCCCUGUCUGUGAUAAAAAGGCAGCCUAUGAGAGCUUGAUCUUGGAUGGGCUCUUCAUGGAAAUCCUUAAUGAAUGUUCAGAUGUCGAUGAGAUUAAAUUCCAGGAAGAUGGCACCUGGUGCCCCAUGAGGCCAAAGAAAGAGGCUGUGAAAGUCUCAAGUCCACAGUGCACCAAAAUAGAAAGUUCCAGCGUUGUUAGCAAACCGUGUUCUGUGACAGUGGCCAGUGAGGCAAACAAGAAGAAAGUUGAUGUUAUUGACUUGACAAUAGAAAGCUCUUCUGACGAAGAGGAGGAUCCUCCUGCCAAAAGGAAGUGCAUUUUUAUGUCUGAAACACAAGGAAGCCCAACCAAAGGGUUUGUCAAUUUUAAAGUUAGUUGUUAUUCUGUAAUGUCUCAGAUAAACUGAUGUGUAGACAGGCGGACUUGUAAUCUCUCUUUGGGAUCCAGCUCCACACUUCCAGAGGAGAAUUUCUAGGCCUCUCCUUGUAGAAGGCUGUAUUGAUACAGUACCUUUGUACAGGUGAAACACUAUUAAAUAGUUUUACAUCUCUCAAAAGACUUGCGCUGACUGUUGCUGUGUUUGCAGGGAUAUUUCUCCAUAGAAAAGAGAGAUUCUCCUGAGAAAGCAGAUUAUGCCAAGUGGAGGAGCUUUGUGCAUUCUUGCUAAGUUAGUGUCAUCUUAAAAGCUUUUCUUUCGCUGUCUGUUACACCCUUCAAUCUGCUGUGGUGCCCAGGAAACAAGGCUGCAUUGCGUGUAUCAUCCAUCCUGUUGGUCUUGGAAGGGAGGCGCUUUGCUGUUUUGAAUUGAGACGAGUUUUUCCUCCAUCUCUCUGUAAAACUCUGGUAUGUUGUGGACACUGUUGGCUGUGGUUAUCAGUCAAUCCUGCACCUCAGUUAGCACAACCGACGACUUCAAGUCCCCUGUCAACUGAUCCAUCUCUGUAGUUGUGCCAAACUUCAGUGUCAGGUUUAACCAGCUUCUUUACUGUUGUGCUGCCUUCUGUCUUGUCCCAGUCCGUGCAACUUGGCUGCAGUUAGUUUGUGGCUUCCAACGUUCUUGCUCUUGGCCUUUUGGGUGCAGGAGACCUGCAGAGAGAGAGGGGCACUGGUUAGGCUCACCAGCAGUUGCUGCUCCAUGAGGCGAUGCUAGUCACGGCUUAGUAGUUAGUGUCGCUGCCUGCAUGAGGUGUUUGUCUGUGUCUCUCAGCAUAGUGGCUUAUGUCUUGUACUAAAAUAAUAGUAAUAAAACCCAAACCCCUUCUGUUUUGCGAGCUCUUGAAGUAAUGAGCAGGUGUGCUGUGUUUCUAGUCUGCAGGAAUGUGUGGUCUUUGGUGAGCAAAUAGCUGGUCGUCAUCAACAACUUUCAGCAGUGAUACUGACAUGCUGUUGCUUUUUGUGAGGAUUGUGGAGUAGUCCUUCUGCAAAAGACUUUCUUACUUUUGUAAGAACAAAAUAGCUACAAAUACAUCUCUUAAUGAAGUUUCAGAAGGCACCAAGACUUCCUUCCAUGCUCCUGUGUUUGAGAUGGCUACCUGCAACCAUAAUUGUAGGAGGACUGAGUUUUCUUGUCUCUCUGUGACCUAUGUAUUUUCCUUGCUGUGUGGGUAUGGAAAUGGCAUGUUUUCAUUCUUCAAAUCCAAGUCAAAGCCAGGCUUUUGGGGAAUAGCUUAUCUCCUGUGAACAGUGUUGCCUGAAUGCUGGUUUUGGCAAAACUGUGGGAUGCCUUCCUGUAGGCAGAAGCAACGUAGGCUGAAGUGUAAGAGGCGCUUGAGAAGGGAGGGUCUGAAAUCCAAGCUUCUCAAAUCAGAAGCAGCAUAAAUGUACCAGUGCAGCAGUCUGGGGAGGAGGAGGUGAGUGGGUAACACUCAUGGCUGGAGUGGAGCAGCCAGGAGUGGGACUCUGGGUGUUUCCACCUGACUUGGAGCUUAUGAAAUACUUUAUGUAUAUGGCUGAAUGCCUGUUGUGUCAACUUUAACAGUGCUGCAAUGUAAUCGGGCUGAAGGUGGGGGUGCAGAAGGGUUUUAGCUGGUUGCAUGCUCCUGGAGAGCUGAAUUUGGCUUGGGCUUAGGCUCUGAGUAAAGGUGGGUUUGGUGUUUAGCUCCCAUCUGUGCUCCAGGGGCUGAGUAACGCUCAGUCAUGCCCUUGGCGGGAUGGGAUAGCACAAAGGAAUACUCAUGGGGAAAAAUUGAAACAAGGACUCUUCUCCUGGCUCUGGCUACCUGCACAUCCCUCCAAGGGUGCUCCUCAGAUACAGAUACCCAGUUCUGUGUCCGAAUGGUAGACUGCUAUACAUGACUCCAGCACUGUACUUUGUUUUAAUGCCACCUUGCUCUUAUGUCACAGCUGCUGUUGAGAGCCAAGAUACGGUCAUGUUAUUAUGAAGACUGUUAUGAAAGAGGAAAUUAGAGUGGAAUACUGUGUAGUGAGUAGCCACACUAUAGCUGUGUUAUCACAGAGUGAUCUUGUGAGUAAGAGUGUGUGCUUUCUCCUCUGUAACUAACGGCCAGGUUGUUUGUAAUUUCCCAUGCUGUUUAAAACAGGGUGCUCAUGUACCAGCCAUCUACGGUCAGAGUGCCCAGCGUGACAACGGUCGAUGCUGCUGCUAUUCCUCCUUCAUUAACAGACUAUCCAGUACCAUUCCAUCAUCCACCAAUUUCCAAUAUUUCAUCAGAUCUGCCAGGUUUGGAUUUUCUUUCGCUUAUCCCAGUAGAUUCUCAGUCUCUCCUCAACCUUAACAAGCAGCACGCCUGGCAGCAUCAUCACAUCGACCAGUCACCACGAGAGCAGCACGCACGUUAGCUCCUCCAGCAGGAGCGAGACAGGAGUGAUAACCAGCGCUCCUGACAUCAUCUCGCUGGAUUGAGGCAAGGGGCAGCACGCUGGACUGCGGGAUGCAUUGCACAGAGCUGCUGCUGCUCGCUCUCUCUCUCUGGAACUUCAGCACCUCGCAAGUUAGUCUUGAUAUUUAUUGAAAGGAUUUGCCUUCUGGGGAAUGGAGUAAAUUCAUCUACAUUAGGAACAUAAGUGAUAGAUCUUUUUUCCUUUUUAGUUUUUCUGUUGCUCAUUGAAUAGCUGGUAUAGAAAAGGUACCUUCUGAUUAUGCUUUUACGCUUUUGGCUUGUUCUGGGGAAACUGAUGAUUUGUUGCUGGGUGGAUUUCACAAAUGUUUUUCAGUUUUGUUGUAAAACGCAGCAAUAAUGUAAAAACAAACUUUUUAAUAUAUGAAAAGGCACUUACCACUCUGUAACAACCACCGUGACCUGGACUUAGGUGCAGAAGUAUAUGUCUUAGUGAAUUUUUAGUAUUUUCACUGGGACCUGUAAUAGAUUUAAUUUCAGACAAUGAAGCUCUGUGAAAUAGCCAUGCCUUGGGUUAUAUGUCUCUUGUUCCUGGCUUCCCCCUUAACUUGGGGAUAUAGGGGAAGCCUCUGUAAAUGGGAUUUCCUUGUUUCUCCUUUCUUCCUCCUGAUUUCAUGUUUUUCAUAAAUGCAUCAAAAUCCUAAGCUGUGGCUUCUUCUCGUACUGUUCUUUGGGCUGGGGAGGGGAUAGACUAUCUAUGCAAACUCUGCUUUAUGCCACCUCUGCGCUGCAUUGUCAGAAUUGGGCCAAUUCCAAACUAUGCACCAUUGAGCUAUAGUUGAAUUUCUGGCUUGAUAAAUUUAAGAGGUGAUAGUAAAAAAAAAAAGCGCCUUUAAACUCAAAUUUAGAUUAUGAGGUCCUCGGUGUCCCUUUCUGAAGUUGCUGCCCCAUACCAGAUGACCAAAGGAAGUGCACGCUUCCUAUGGCAGCUGUAAGGAGACAAAAUAGGAAUUACUUUAUCCAGUGCAGGAAUAUUUUGUAGGAUCUCUUGCUCAUGGCUUCUGGCACUGCUGUAACUGCUAUAUGCUGUUUGGGAACACCACACUCCCACUUGCCACAGCGGAGGCUUGGCUUUUAGGAAGAUAAAAGCUGUUCAUAGAUGCACAAUAUUCCCACCUGAUUGAAACUAUGUGUUUAUGGCUCAGUGCCACUUUUUCCCACUUUACACAGUCUCCUAAUCAUGGCUUUUAUAAUUCAAUGAGAACACCUUCCUCUGUUUUACUCCUCUGCAAAUCUGCUUCUUCGCUGUGUGUCUCCCCGUGCGCCUCCCAGGAUAACCUCAGCAGUGCUGUAUGUGGAAGAGGUUACAGAUCAGGAAAACAAAGUUGUGUUCAUAGAGCUGGAAUAGUAGUAUUGUUUGUGUAGGCUGACAUAGCAGCUUUUCCAAGUGUUGUGUUUCUGCUGAGUAACCGUAUUUGAGAUUAUUCCUUCUGUAAUGGCCAGCUUUCACUUUUACAUAAUUUUGUGUUCCUGUUUUAUUUCUUUGGUUGGAUGUCUGGUGCUUUUUGCCUUCUGUUACUGUUCCAGUAUCUGAACGAAGUACAUGAAUAGGAAAUAUUGAAGCAGGAUGUAUUGUAACUCUUGUCUACCCUGUACUCCCGCCUGUAACACUGCAUUACGAUUUGUCAUUGCCUUGAUUUAUUUUUAUUUUUUUUUUUGUAUGAUCUUUCACAGCAGUCUUCAGUUGACAUGUUGUUUUCAAUAUUGCCUCCAGUUUUGAUUCUUUCCUUAUCUGCUGAAUUUUUUGUACCUGUUACGAAUCAGUUUUCAGCAUGAUCUGUUUCCAAUAAAGCCAUGCUGCUCAUGAAUUUUA